Molecule: ribosomal RNA, 817 nt
Filed under: uncultured archaeon
Lineage: Archaea
Description: bacterial SSU rRNA
Rfam family: Archaeal small subunit ribosomal RNA
Source: RNAcentral
ACGGCUCAGUAACACGUGGAUAACCUGCCCUUAGGUUUGGCAUAACUCCGGGAAACUGGAGAUAAUUCCGAAUAGGUCAAAUAUGCUGGAAUGCUUUUUGGCCAAAAGACCUCGGUUGCCUAAGGAUGGAUCUGCGGUCUAUCAGGUAGUAGUGGGUGUAACGUACCUACUAGCCUACGACGGAUAUGGGUUGUGAGAGCAAGAGCCCAGAGAUGGAUUCUGAGACAUGAAUCCAGGCCCUACGGGGCGCAGCAGGCGCGAAAACUUUACAAUGCGGGAAACCGCGAUAAGGGGACACCGAGUGCCAGCAUUUAUGUUGGCUGUCCACAUGUGUAAACGGCAUGUGUUAGCAAGGGCCGGGCAAGACCGGUGCCAGCCGCCGCGGUAACACCGGCGGCCCGAGUGGUAAUCACUUUUAUUGGGUCUAAAGGGUCCGUAGCCGGUUUGAUCAGUUCUUCGGGAAAUCUGACAGCUCAACUGUUAGGCUUCCGGGGAAUACUGUCAGACUUGGGACCGGGAGAGGUAAGAGGUACUACAGGGGUAGGAGUGAAAUCUUGUAAUCCCUGUGGGACCACCAGUGGCGAAGGCGUCUUACCAGAACGGGUCCGACGGUGAGGGACGAAAGCUGGGGGCACGAACCGGAUUAGAUACCCGGGUAGUCCCAGCCGUAAACGAUGUUCGCUAGGUGUCAGGGGCGGUGCGACCGCUUCUGGUGCCGUAGGGAAGCCGUGAAGCGAACCACCUGGGAAGUACGGCCGCAAGGCUGAAACUUUAAGGAAUUGGCGGGGGAGCACUACAACGGGUGGAGCCUGCGGUU